UUCCGGUUGAUCCUGCCAGAGGUUACUGCUAUCGAUGAUUCGACUAAGCCAUGCAAGUCGAUAUGUUCCUCGUGAACAUGGCAGACUGCUCAGUAACACGUGGACAACCUACCCUUGGGUCCGGCAUAACCCCGGGAAACUGGGAAUAAUAUCCGGAUAACGUCACAUGAUGCUGGAAUGCGCGAUGGCCGUAAAAUGCAUCCGGCCGCCCAAGGAUGGGUCUGCGGCCUAUCAGGGUAGUAGUGGGUGUAACGUACCUACUAGCCAACAACGGGUACGGGUUGUGAGAGCAAGAGCCCGGAGAUGGAUUCUGAGACACGAAUCCAGGCCCUACGGGGCGCAGCAGGCGCGAAAACUUUACAAUGCGGAAAACCGUGAUAAGGGGAACACCGAGUGCCAGCAUCAUAAUGCUGGCUGUCCAGAUGCCUAAAAUAGCAUCUGUUAGCAAGGGCCGGGCAAGACCGGUGCCAGCCGCCGCGGUAACACCGGCGGCCCGAGUGGUAACCGCUAUUAUUGGGUCUAAAGGGUCCGUAGCCGGCCAGGUAAGUCCUCCUGGGAAAUCUGACAGCUCAACUGUCAGGCUGCUAGGGGGAUACUGCCAGGCUUGGAACCGGGAGAGGUAAGAGGUACUACAUGGGGGUAAGGGGUGAA
RNAcentral lists this ribosomal RNA (651 nucleotides) under unidentified archaeon. Its description in RNAcentral is "bacterial SSU rRNA". It matches the Rfam family "Archaeal small subunit ribosomal RNA", at positions 1 to 636 of the family's 1478-position model. The record is from RNAcentral.